Molecule: long non-coding RNA, 1265 nt
Filed under: Ananas comosus (pineapple)
Lineage: Eukaryota; Viridiplantae; Streptophyta; Magnoliopsida; Poales; Bromeliaceae
Description: long non-coding RNA (ACOM_LNC030759)
Source: RNAcentral
AUAUAUAUAUACUCGCACGCUUAUCAUCUUGAACUUUUUUAGUAACUCCAGGCUGUUUAUCGACAUCAGGAUGGUACUGAAAAAAUAAAAAAUAAAAAUCAAUACACUUGUGCAAAUCCAACAUGAAAGAAUGUACAGAUUAUAUUAUUAAACAUGCUGAAGAAUUCUAUAGAUAAAUAAAAGUAGAGAAUUGGUUAAUUUGUAUUAAAAAAAGGCAAGAUGGUAAAGAAAAUGGCAAUGAAGAAGCGAAGAAACCACAAUUUAUGGGGAAGAGAAAUGGUUGCAUGCCAGAAAAAUAAAUUGUCAUAUGAAAAAGAGAAACGGUCGCAUGGAAAAGAUAACUUUCAUAUGGAAAAGAGAAACAGUCACAUUGGAAAGAUAAAAUAUCAUAUGAAAUUAUGGCGAAGAGAAAUAGUUGCAUGGCCGGAAAAAUAAAUUGUCAUAUGGAAAAGAGAAACGGUCGCAUGGAGAAGAUAACUUACAUAUAGGAAAGAGAAACGGUCACAUUGGAAAGAUAAAAUGUCAUAUAAAAUAGAGAAACGGUUGAAGGAAGAGGAGAGGUCGGUUCAAAGAGAGCAAAAGAUAAAUGUCAUAUGAAAAAGAGAAACGGUUGAAGGAAGAGGAGAAGUUGGUUCAAAGAGAGCAAAAAAAUAUAAAAAAUCUAAAAAAAGGAGGGCUUGCCACGUCAUCAUUUUUAUUGGGGAUUCAUAUAGAGUUAUAGAUAGUAAAAAUAAUGCUAUAAUAAUUUAUUUUUAAAUUUUAAAUAGUUUAUUUUAAAAAGAAAUAUCAAGUGUUUCUGUGACCAAAAUUUCACAAACACUAAUGGAUUAGCGCUAUUAGAAGCAUUCCAGCCUAUUUAUAGAGAGAGAAAGAGAGAGUCCAGCUACUAUACUCUUGUGAGUACAAUCGACUUCAUACUCAUAAGUCAUUUUCGAUUGAUAGAGCUUUCGAAUCGAUGAUUCAUAUUAUUAAACAUUAUUAGAAUAUUUAAAACUUUUAGAAACUAAAUUUCAUGAUUUUUCGAUAUUAUUUACGUUACAAUCGAAAGAUCUCAAAGUUGACAACUUUUAAUAGUCAGUAUGCGAUCCUUGCUAGUUUAAGAGUAUAAAAAAAUUGAAAUCGGUUGAAUUUGAUAAAAAAUUAUAUUCACUAUCUAGAUAAAGAUUAACAACUCCGAUCUUAAAUUGAAGUAUCUGAUCUUUUAUUUUUAGAAAGUCGUUUGAUUUUGAUUGUUCAUUUUAUACCCGUUUGAUAGAAUUUAUUAU